RNAcentral lists this long non-coding RNA (199 nucleotides) under Lathyrus oleraceus (garden pea). RNAcentral describes it as "Pisum sativum (pea) long non-coding RNA (PSAT_LNC018322)". Lineage: Eukaryota; Viridiplantae; Streptophyta; Magnoliopsida; Fabales; Fabaceae. The record is from RNAcentral.
AAAGCUAAGUUUGGGGUAAAAAACCCCAAAAGCUCUCAAAGCCUAAGAAAGUGCAAAAACAAGAGAAAAAAGAAAAAAAUGAUGAAUCGAAAAAAACAAAGGAAAAUAAAAUUUUGACAACUCGAAGAUUCAAAAGAAAGAAGCACGGAAAAGGGAAGUCGGUGAAAAAGAAAUAAGAAAAGAAAACCGAGGAAAUAAA